UUUCUCAUUUUUACAGAUUUGGCGUAGUAGGGUUUGGUAUGAGAAGCAAGGGAUUGUCACACAGUGAGCAAUGCUAGCUGAUUGAUUGCAAAACCAAUUCCAAGAACAAGCCCUCUUAACUUUCAAGAUUUGAUACUUCCUACAUUUCUUUAGA
Molecule: long non-coding RNA, 154 nt
Organism: Telopea speciosissima
Lineage: Eukaryota; Viridiplantae; Streptophyta; Magnoliopsida; Proteales; Proteaceae
Exons: 3
Source: RefSeq, a predicted model, not a curated record